This 465-nucleotide ribosomal RNA is filed under the name uncultured bacterium. RNAcentral's name for it is "bacterial SSU rRNA". It matches the Rfam family "Bacterial small subunit ribosomal RNA", at positions 338 to 795 of the family's 1533-position model. The record is from RNAcentral.
CCUACGGGAUGCAGCAGUAGGGAAUCUUCCGCAAUGGGCGAAAGCCUGACGGAGCAACGCCGCGUGAGUGAUGAAGGUCUUCGGAUCGUAAAACUCUGUUAUCAGGGAAGAACAAAUGUGUAAGUAACUGUGCACAUCUUGACGGUACCUGAUCAGAAAGCCACGGCUAACUACGUGCCAGCAGCCGCGGUAAUACGUAGGUGGCAAGCGUUAUCCGGAAUUAUUGGGCGUAAAGCGCGCGUAGGCGGUUUUUUAAGUCUGAUGUGAAAGCCCACGGCUCAACCGUGGAGGGUCAUUGGAAACUGGAAAACUUGAGUGCAGAAGAGGAAAGUGGAAUUCCAUGUGUAGCGGUGAAAUGCGCAGAGAUAUGGAGGAACACCAGUGGCGAAGGCGACUUUCUGGUCUGUAACUGACGCUGAUGUGCGAAAGCGUGGGGAUCAAACAGGAUUAGAUACCCGCGUAGUC